This is a long non-coding RNA of Patella vulgata (common limpet), 397 nucleotides long. RefSeq lists it as uncharacterized. NCBI's taxonomy places the organism in Eukaryota, Metazoa, Mollusca, Gastropoda, Patellidae. The transcript is spliced from 3 exons. The record is from RefSeq and is a predicted model, not a curated record.
CAAAAAAGAAAAAGAAAAAAAACCUGAGCCAUACACCCUUUAAGCAUAAAGAACGAAGCAAGUAUGUCCGAAUACCUACACAUUGGAAUCGGGUUUCUGUUUUCGGGUUUAUUGGAUCGAAAAAAACUUUUACGAUGCUAGAAACUUUUGUCAGGCGGAUGGUGGAGACCUGGUUAGUUUUGAUAGUCAAGAAAAGACUGAUAUCAUCAUACAAUAUCUCAUCCCAACUGAAAGAUAUGUGUUUGGUAUGUUUAACAUACAAAGUGAUAAAAGUUUUGAUCUGGUAGAUGGAAGAACAAGUGCCGAUUUCACGUUUAGGUACUGGAAACCGAAUCGUCCGGAUGGUCCAUUUAAUAUACCAUUAUGUGGAAGUUUCAAUCACAAUUCAAAUGGCUAC